This is a long non-coding RNA of Planococcus citri (citrus mealybug), 345 nucleotides long. RefSeq lists it as uncharacterized. The transcript is spliced from 4 exons. Lineage: Eukaryota; Metazoa; Arthropoda; Insecta; Hemiptera; Pseudococcidae. The record is from RefSeq and is a predicted model, not a curated record.
CAUUAUAUAUACAACCUUCUCUCGAAGAAAAUGAAUAAGUGUUCUUUGAACGUGUUCUAGUUGCUGUUACAGAAGCCAAGUUAAAACUCUGUCAAAAGCACCAGUCUUAAAAAAAAAAUUACAAUGGUCUCUGUGAAAGUUCUAUUCUUUGUGGUGUUAGUUGCUGCAUUGCACGUUGUUGUUAUAAAAGAUGCUCUGGUUUCUGGUCAGCGCUCAGAUGAAGCUUUGACCGGCCCAUUGUAUGUGAGGUCGGACGACUGUAAUGUAUAAAGCAGAAAUGACCAUCAAUGGAAAAACACAGGAAAACUGUGUGACAUUAAGCAUAAAAUGUACCUAAUGCUUUUU